Molecule: ribosomal RNA, 245 nt
Filed under: Clostridioides difficile
Lineage: Bacteria; Bacillati; Bacillota; Clostridia; Peptostreptococcales; Peptostreptococcaceae
Description: partial 23S ribosomal RNA
Rfam family: Bacterial large subunit ribosomal RNA
Source: RNAcentral
GUAAACCCAAGGUUUCCAGGGGAAGGUUCGUCCGCCCUGGGUUAGUCGGGACCUAAGCUGAGGCCGAAAGGCGUAGGUGAUGGACAACAGGUUGAUAUUCCUGUACUACCGAUAACCGUUUGAGAGAUGGGAUGACACAGUAGGAUAAGCUAAGCACACUGUUGGUUAUGUGUGCCCAAGCAUUGAGGCAGUCAAAGUAGGCAAAUCCGCUUUGAUAAUGCUGGGAUGUGAUGGGGAGCGAAAUU